Molecule: transfer RNA, 75 nt
Filed under: Flavobacterium sp. ALD4
Lineage: Bacteria; Pseudomonadati; Bacteroidota; Flavobacteriia; Flavobacteriales; Flavobacteriaceae
Description: tRNA-Arg
Rfam family: tRNA
About the family: Transfer RNA (tRNA) molecules are approximately 80 nucleotides in length.
Source: RNAcentral
AGCCCUGUAGUUCAACGGAUAGAAUGGGAGUUUCCUAAACUUUUGAUCCGAGUUCGAUUCUCGGCGGGGCUACAA